Long non-coding RNA from Ipomoea triloba (trilobed morning glory), 603 nucleotides. RefSeq lists it as uncharacterized. The transcript has 2 exons. Lineage: Eukaryota; Viridiplantae; Streptophyta; Magnoliopsida; Solanales; Convolvulaceae. The record is from RefSeq and is a predicted model, not a curated record.
GCUCAUAUCAGCUCCUCCUAAUUAAGUUGAAAUACAUCAGAAAUAUGGCUACAUCUCAGCUUAUCAAAACCAAUAUUAUUGUGCCUCUUCUUUUCUGCUUCCUUCUCAUUGCAGCCUUUGAGAUGGAAACCGCAAAAGCAACAUGCUGGGUUGCCUCAAAAACUUGGAAUGGGAACUGCUACAAUAGUAAUUGCAAAAAUUGGUGUGAUUCCCAAAUCAAUGGCCCUUACUACUGGAAGUGUGAGAAAUCCUGCGGCAAAAGCUAUUAUUCUUGUGGUUGCUACAAGGAUUGCUGAUUAUGCAUGGGAAUAUAUAUAUAUAUAUAUAUAUAUAUAUAUAUAUAUAUAUAUAUAUGAUCAAAUCAAAGGAACCAAUAUUUAUACUGCACUACUACUGCUGCAUGGGUUGAUUAUGAAACAAAAAUAUAAUGCAAAUAAAAUCUAUAUAUAAUAUAUCGACAACCUAGCUUGCAUUGUUGUCCUUCUGUUGUGUGUUGUUUUCAAUAGUGUACGUUGUUGUACUGUGUACUAUCAAAUAAGAGGCAUUUGCAUCUUUUAUUAUUGUGUAAUCAAAGAUAUGUAUAAAUAUAAUGGUUGUUGUAAA